AGAGUUUGAUCCUGGCUCAGAUUGAACGCUGGCGGCAUGCCUUACACAUGCAAGUCGAACGCGAAAGGGGGGCAACCCCCGAGUAGAGUGGCGAACGGGUGAGUAAUACAUCGGAACGUGCCCAGUAGCGGGGGAUAACCUCUCGAAAGAGAGGCUAAUACCGCAUACGACCUACGGGUGAAAGAGGGGGAUCGCAAGACCUCUCACUAUUGGAGCGGCCGAUGUCGGAUUAGCUAGUUGGUGGGGUAAAGGCCUACCAAGGCGACGAUCCGUAGCUGGUCUGAGAGGACGACCAGCCACACUGGAACUGAGACACGGUCCAGACUCCUACGGGAGGCAGCAGUGGGGAAUUUUGGACAAUGGGCGCAAGCCUGAUCCAGCCAUGCCGCGUGGGUGAAGAAGGCCUUCGGGUUGUAAAGCCCUUUCGGCUGGGACGAAAAGGUCCGUGCUAACACCACGGAUCCAUGACGGUACCAGCAGAAGAAGCACCGGCUAACUACGUGCCAGCAGCCGCGGUAAUACGUAGGGUGCAGGCGCUAAUCGGAAUUACUGGGCGUAAAGCGUGCGCAGGCGGUCUAUUAAGACAGGUGUGAAAUCCCCGGGCUUAACCUGGGAACUGCGCUUGUAACUGAUAGGCUGGAGUGUGGCAGAGGGGGGUGGAAUUCCACGUGUAGCAGUGAAAUGCGUAGAGAUGUGGAGGAACACCGAUGGCGAAGGCAGCCCCCUGGGCUAACACUGACGCUCAUGCACGAAAGCGUGGGGAGCAAACAGGAUUAGAUACCCUAGUAGUCC
This 792-nucleotide ribosomal RNA is filed under the name uncultured bacterium. RNAcentral's name for it is "bacterial SSU rRNA". It matches the Rfam family "Bacterial small subunit ribosomal RNA", at positions 8 to 796 of the family's 1533-position model. The record is from RNAcentral.